Molecule: small RNA, 1567 nt
Filed under: Pongo abelii (Sumatran orangutan)
Lineage: Eukaryota; Metazoa; Chordata; Mammalia; Primates; Hominidae
Description: processed transcript
Source: RNAcentral
AGGUAUUAAGAAAUGGAGAGAAAAAUAAGCAGAAUCCAUCUUGCUUCUGAACCCAAUAUAACUCAUUUUCUACAAGUAUCUUGGGAGAAAACACUGGAAUCUGGUUUUGUUAUUACACUUACUGAUGGUCAUUCAGCAUGGACUGGGACAGUUUCUGAAUCAGAGAUUUCCCAAGAAGCUGAUGACAUGGCAAUGGAAAAGGGGAAAUAUGUUGGUGAACUGAGAAAAGCAUUGUUGUCAGGAGCAGGACCAGCUGAUGUAUACACGUUUAAUUUUUCUAAAGAGUCUUGUUAUUUCUUCUUUGAGAAAAACAUGAAAGAUGUCUCAUUCAGACUUGGUUCCUUCAACCUAGAGAAAGUUGAAAACCCAGCUGAAGUCAUUAGAGAACUUAUUUGUUAUUGCUUGGACACCAUUGCAGAAAAUCAAGCCGAAAAUGAGCACCUGCAGAGAGAAAAUGAAAGGCUUCUGAGAGAUUGGAAUGAUGUUCAAGGACGAUUUGAAAAAUGUGUGAGCGCUAAGGAAGCUUUGGAGACUGAUCUUUAUAAGCGGUUUAUUCUGGUGUUGAAUGAGAAGAAGACAAAAAUCAGAAGUUUGCAUAAUAAAUUAUUAAAUGCAGCUGAAGAACGAGAAAAGGACAUCAAACAAGAAGGGGAAACUGCAAUCUGUUCUGAAAUGACUGCUGACCGAGAUCCAGUCUAUGAUGAGAGUACUGAUGAGGAAAGUGAAAACCAAACUGAUCCCUCUGGGUUGGCUUCAGCUGCUGUAAGUAAAGAUGAUUCCAUUAUUUCAAGUCUUGAUGUCACUGAUAUUGCACCAAGUAGAAAAAGGAGACAGCGAAUGCAAAGAAAUCUUGGGACAGAACCUAAAAUGGCUCCUCAGGAGAAUCAGCUUCAAGAAAAGGAAAAGUAAGUCAUUUUAUUCUUUGCCAAGAAGUGAGAUGACAUUUUUGAAAAUCUAGCAUAUGAUCUUAAAAAUUAUGUUUUCAUUUUGAAUGUUUUUAAAGUUAUUUUUAAGAAAAUGUCAUUUUGGAAUUAGAAAAUGUUUGAAUCAAUAUAUUGUUUCAGUAUUUGGUUAAUUUCUAUUAAUAUUUAAAGCUGAAAUGCUGAAAACAUUAGCAAAAAUUUUUUUCUCAUGGUUUUUAUAGAUUAAUUAGAAAUGGCAUGUAGGAUACAAAAAAUAUUGGAAUCCAACUAGUGUUCAGUAAAGUGUUUCAAUCUAAUUUACUGCUUGAAAGAGACCCGUAUGGCAUUCAAAUUAGCCAUUUAAUUUGGUUAUGCUUGGCAUUUUUUUCAAGUAAAAUGUCUCUUUUUCAUCAUCUGUUUAUUUCUAUCAAGUUUUGGCAUUGUGUACUUUAUUUUAACUGUUUUUCACUCUUUGAUUCUGAUUACCCUGCAUCAGUCUAUAUUUCAAUUUAGGUGUGAUGAGUUGCGAAGUUGAAACACUUAAUAUUUCGUUACAGCAAAACAAUGAGCAUUUAUAAAGAAUAUUAUCAGUUUAAUCCAAAAUGAAUGUGCAAAUCAUUUGUAUCUUUGGGUAUAUGUAUAUAUGCUCUGAGAAUUUAUUUUUU